This is a long non-coding RNA of Dicentrarchus labrax (European seabass), 247 nucleotides long. RefSeq lists it as uncharacterized. The record is from RefSeq and is a predicted model, not a curated record. The transcript is spliced from 3 exons. Lineage: Eukaryota; Metazoa; Chordata; Actinopteri; Moronidae.
GAUUACAAUUGUAUCCAUCAACAUAAUUCAGGUUUAAAGUGGUUAUCAGUUGAACAGGUUGACAAAUCCUGACCUGAGAGUUUCCAGUUUACAGUGUGGACUCUUCAGUCCAACAGAAAGCAGCUUCAGUCCUGAAUCCUGCAGGUUGUUGUUACUCAGGUCCAGCUCUCUCAGACUAGAGGACUGGGAGCUGAGAACUGAGGACAGAGCUUCACAGCUUCUCUCUGAGAGGUUACAGCCACUCAGU